GCGCCUGUAGCUCAGGUGGAUAGAGCAACGGUCUUCUAAACCGUGGGCCCGGGGUUCGAGUCCCUGCAGGCGCGCCA
This 77-nucleotide transfer RNA is filed under the name Clostridiales bacterium. RNAcentral's name for it is "tRNA-Arg". It matches the Rfam family "tRNA". From Rfam's summary of the family: Transfer RNA (tRNA) molecules are approximately 80 nucleotides in length. Lineage: Bacteria; Bacillati; Bacillota; Clostridia; Eubacteriales. RNAcentral also lists the same sequence under 2 other names. The record is from RNAcentral.